UACGUAGGUGGCGAGCGUUGUCCGGAUUUAUUGGGCGUAAAGCGCGCGCAGGCGGUCGCGUAAGUCUGCUGUGAAAUCUCCCUGGCUCAACCGGGAGGGGGCGGCGGAGACUGCGGGACUGAGGGACCUAGAGGGCGGUGGAAUUCCCGGUGUAGUGGUGAAAUGCGUAGAGAUCGGGAGGAACACCUGUGGCGAAGGCGGCCGGCUGGGGGUGCCCUGACGCUGAGGCGCGAAAGCGUGGGGAGCGAACCGG
This 253-nucleotide ribosomal RNA is filed under the name uncultured bacterium. Its description in RNAcentral is "partial 16S ribosomal RNA". It matches the Rfam family "Bacterial small subunit ribosomal RNA", at positions 524 to 776 of the family's 1533-position model. The record is from RNAcentral.